Molecule: ribosomal RNA, 195 nt
Filed under: Triticum aestivum (bread wheat)
Lineage: Eukaryota; Viridiplantae; Streptophyta; Magnoliopsida; Poales; Poaceae
Description: partial small subunit ribosomal RNA
Source: RNAcentral
AUGGUCUUCAUGAUCCCAACUGGCGUCGUGCUAUGCUCGAGGAAUUUGAUCCUCUUGUCGCUAACCGAACAUGUUCACUUUUUCCAUGACCUUCUCGUGCUCAUGUUGUUUCAGGGAAAUGGAUCUUCAAGCACAAGUUUCACUCUAACGGCAACUUUCUCAGAUACUCGUUGCGGUGGGUUAGCAGAUAUUUGA